AUGCUACCACGCUGCUGCUGGUUUUGCAGUCCGGGCGGGACCAUCAUCGUCUUCACCACCGCGGCGUCACGCCGUCUCUCCGAUAGCGGUCGGGGGCUCGACAUCGACAUGCCCCCGGAAUGGCCGCGAAGGGCGGCGCGUCCUCGCCGUCGGCCUCGCCUUCUUCACCACCGUUGCGACACCGGCCAUCCGUCCGUGGCGUCGCGCCGUCUCACCGGUAGUGUUCGCGGGCUCGACAUCGACCCGCCCACGGAACGACCGCGCGGGACGGUGCGUCCUCGUCGUCGGCAUCGCCCUCUUCGUCACCACUGCCGCGGCCGUGCCGCCGCACCUGGGGCUGCACGCCCCGUGCUGUGUCUCGCUCCAGGACGGUCGUCCGCGCGCCUCCGCGGUCGUUCCGGUCGCGCCCCCGCGGCCGGCCUUUCCUCGACCAGACCUCCACUCGCGGCCGAGCUGGCCAACUCUGGUUCCUGUGCAUGGCUAGCUAAGCUAGCUAGUAGACACAAUGGAUUGGCCGACGUGCAUGCUAGCUCCGCUAGCAAACCCAAUGGACGGUGGAUGCAUGCCUCGAGCUCGCCCGGCCUUGCUCCGCUCCACCAACUGCGCGUCCGUGCUGCUCUGCUGCUCCGCUUGCUGUUGUCGCCCCAGCCAGCUCCUGCUCACGCUCACACCAGCCGCAGCCGGCUCCACCUCGUGCUGGAUGCUCCGCGUCCGCGCACGCCAGUUCCCUCCUCCGCGCCAGUCCCGCUGCCUCGUCCGGCCAUCCCGAGGACCGUCUCGUCGCUCCGGCCGGCUGCGCCGUCCGAGCCGGCUGCUGCCGUGCCCCGUCGCUGCUCCUCACCUGCGGCCGCCUCGGCGCGUCGGGGCCGGCUCCUGCGUUGCCCCGCUCUGCCGCCUCCCGCAGCACGCCGCCUUCGGCUGCUGCUUUGCACCUCCACGCGCACUGGCCGGCUCCCCCACUCCCUCGCCGCGUGGCUGUCGCGUCGCGUCCGCCUGCUGGCGCACCUCCUGCAGCACGCCGUGUCCGGCCGCCCUCUCCGCCUUCGCGCCUCGUCCUCUGCGGCCGCCUUGGCCUCCGCCCGUGGCCAGGCGGGCUGCACGCCCCAAGCCGCGCCGGGCUGCUUGCUCCGACCCCCGCUGCCCGGCGCGGACACUGCUUGGGGCCUCCUCGCGCGCGCAUGGCUGCCGCCGGCGGCCUGA
RNAcentral lists this ribosomal RNA (1200 nucleotides) under Triticum aestivum (bread wheat). Its description in RNAcentral is "partial small subunit ribosomal RNA". Lineage: Eukaryota; Viridiplantae; Streptophyta; Magnoliopsida; Poales; Poaceae. The record is from RNAcentral.